ACCCUCCAGCUUCCCUUCACCCACCAGACCUGAGCAUUGGUCUAAGGGGUUCUAAAAGGAAGCAAAAGCUAGUUUCAAACAAAA
RNAcentral lists this small nucleolar RNA (84 nucleotides) under Echinops telfairi (small Madagascar hedgehog). RNAcentral describes it as "Small nucleolar RNA SNORA61 (ENSETEG00000026583.1)". Lineage: Eukaryota; Metazoa; Chordata; Mammalia; Afrosoricida; Tenrecidae. The record is from RNAcentral.